Long non-coding RNA from Pieris napi, 1064 nucleotides. RefSeq lists it as uncharacterized. The record is from RefSeq and is a predicted model, not a curated record. The transcript has 2 exons. NCBI's taxonomy places the organism in Eukaryota, Metazoa, Arthropoda, Insecta, Lepidoptera, Pieridae.
GAAAUUAUCCAUGUUAGCGGGCGAUGGUCUGUGUAUAUAGUGAACUUUUUACCAUAUAGGUAAGGGCGUAAGUAUUUUAUUGCCCAGACUAUACUUAGAAGUUCUUUUUCUAUUGUAGAGUAUCUUUGUUCUGUGUCUGAUAGUGUUCGAGAAGCGUAAGCUACUGGUGUAUCUGUUCCUAUUGUUCCUUGCGAUAGUACUGCGCCUAUUACUGAUGCAUCUGUGGUGAGUAUAAAGGUGUAAUAUUGGUGCAUUAAUUUACACCUCAUUGCAUUUUUCGAAUGCUUGUGUGUAUUCGGGCAUUAAGUUGAUUUUACUACCUUUUUUUAAGCACUUGGUUAGUGGUUUGGUAAGUCUUGUAUAAACUUUCUAGUAGGCACUAGAAAUGAUUUUAUUUCUUUGUGUUUUUGGUAUUGGAAAUUUUUUUACUGCCGCUAUUUUGUCUUCAUUUGGCAUAAGGCCCUUUUGUAGAAAUUCUGACUUAUUUAAUUGGAUCUUUAAGUUGUGGGAUCUGAAUCUUUCAAAUACCUGUUUGCAUUUAUUUAGGUAUUCCUGUAAAGACGUAGAGUAAAUUAUUACGUCAUCUAGGUACGUUAUUACGUUGUCUAUGCCUCUUAGUACUGAGUCCAUUAAUCUUUGAAAAGGGCUAGGGGCAUUUUUUUGACCAAACGGCAUUCUGAGGAAUUCGUAAUGUCCUCGAUUGCAUUUCUACUUGGUGGAAACCAGACGUUAGGUCUAGGGUAGUGAAAUACUGAGCUCGUCCUAACUUAUCUAAAAUGUCAUCUAUGUUUGGUAAUGGGUAUUUGUCUUCUAUAGUUUUGACAUUUAAUUUUCUGUAGUCUAUUACAAGUCUGUACUUUUGUUCUCCUGUUGCGUCUAAUUUCUUGGGUACAAUAUGUACCGGGCAAGACCAUGGGUAAUUACUUUCUUGUAUUAUGUUCUGUUCGAGGAGUAUGAUGAUACAUGAGCGUAGAGCUGGGAUAUCAGUUGAUUUUUCCUUGAAGCCGUGUGUUCAAGACAUUCAAAUGAUUUGUAAUGUCAACUAAUAAAGCCAAAUCACACAA